This is a non-coding RNA of Microcebus murinus (gray mouse lemur), 787 nucleotides long. The record is from RefSeq and is a predicted model, not a curated record. NCBI's taxonomy places the organism in Eukaryota, Metazoa, Chordata, Mammalia, Primates, Cheirogaleidae.
UGAAGAGAAUUACUAUGAAACCCAGCAAUCCCAACCUCUGGGUGUAUUACCCAAAGGUAUUCAAAGCACAAUCUCAAAGAGGUAUCUGUCUACUCAGGGUCAUAGCAGUGGUGUUCACAAGAGAUGAAAGGUGGAAGAAAUCCAGGUGUUCACCAGUGAUGAGUGGAUACACCAAAUGUGAUCUAUCCAUACAGUGGAGUGUUAUUCAGCCUUAAAAAUGAAGGAGAUUCUGUCGCAUGCUACCACAUGGAUGAAGCUGGAGGACAUUGUACUGAGUGAAUAAGCCAGUCACCAAAGAUUACAUAUCAAACCCCAGAUGAAAGAGGGACCUUCAGACUGUUGUGCCUUCCCCAGCAAAAGCAAGAUCACAGCGACCACGUGCUGCCCUUUGUGUGGAGAGGCUGCCACCGGGCUCUAAGCAGUAAACCCACAUCAAGGUGAGAGCUGAAGCCCAGGACUCCACCACGCUCCUGGUGGGCUACAAACAUGGCCAUGGCCACCUGAGUGCCAGGAUCACCAUCACUGCCUACCUGUCCCUCAAGCACGACCCUCCCAUGCCCGUGUCUGCUUCCAUGGAGCUCAUCCUGGUGGAGGAUAUCAGAGUGAGUCCAGAAGAGGUGACCCUCUACAACCACGUGGCAUCCAGCUGGAGUGGCACAGCAGAGGAGGCUCCGGAUACUUCUUCCUCAACACGAGCACUGCAGAGGUACUCAAGGUGGCCUACCAGCAGGCCAGGGGAUCGCCUUGAAACACUUAUGUCUACACAAAGUCAUGGAAACUAAACAAC